GAUGAACGCUGGCGGCGUGCCUAAUACAUGCAAGUCGAGCGAACGGACGAGAAGCUUGCUUCUCUGAUGUUAGCGGCGGACGGGUGAGUAACACGUGGAUAACCUACCUAUAAGACUGGGAUAACUUCGGGAAACCGUAGCUAAUACCGGAUAAUAUUUUGAACCGCAUGGUUCAAAAGUGAAAGACGGUCUUGCUGUCACUUAUAGAUGGAUCCGCGCUGCAUUAGCUAGUUGGUAAGGUAACGGCUUACCAAGGCAACGAUGCAUAGCCGACCUGAGAGGGUGAUCGGCCACACUGGAACUGAGACACGGUCCAGACUCCUACGGGAGGCAGCAGUAGGGAAUCUUCCGCAAUGGGCGAAAGCCUGACGGAGCAACGCCGCGUGAGUGAUGAAGGUCUUCGGAUCGUAAAACUCUGUUAUUAGGGAAGAACAUAUGUGUAAGAAACUGUGCACAUCUUGACGGUACCUAAUCAGAAAGCCACGGCUAACUACGUG
RNAcentral lists this ribosomal RNA (497 nucleotides) under uncultured bacterium. Its description in RNAcentral is "partial 16S ribosomal RNA". It matches the Rfam family "Bacterial small subunit ribosomal RNA", at positions 28 to 507 of the family's 1533-position model. The record is from RNAcentral.